AUUGAACGCUGGCGGCAUGCUUUACACAUGCAAGUCGAACGGUAACAGGCCUUCGGGUGCUGUCGAGUGGCGAACGGGUGCGUAAUGCAUCGGAACGUACCCAGAGAUUGGGGAUAACGCAGCGAAAGCUGUGCUAAUACCGCAUGUGAUCUGAGGAUGAAAGCGGGGGACCGAGCAGCAAUGUUUGGCCUCGCGCCUUUCGAGCGGCCGAUGUCGGAUUAGCUAGUUGGUGGGGUAAAGGCCUACCAAGGCGACGAUCCGUAGCUGGUCUGAGAGGACGACCAGCCACACUGGAACUGAGACACGGCCCAGACUCCUACGGGAGGCAGCAAUGGGGAAUUUUGGACAAUGGGCGCAAGCCUGAUCCAGCAAUGCCGCGUGCGGGAAGAAGGCCUUCGGGUUGUAAACCGCUUUUGGCAGGAACGAAACGGUGUCCGCUAAUACCGGGCGCUAAUGACGGUACCUGCAGAAUAAGCACCGGCUAACUACGUG
RNAcentral lists this ribosomal RNA (492 nucleotides) under uncultured bacterium. RNAcentral describes it as "partial 16S ribosomal RNA". It matches the Rfam family "Bacterial small subunit ribosomal RNA", at positions 30 to 507 of the family's 1533-position model. The record is from RNAcentral.